This 481-nucleotide ribosomal RNA is filed under the name uncultured bacterium. RNAcentral's name for it is "partial 16S ribosomal RNA". It matches the Rfam family "Bacterial small subunit ribosomal RNA", at positions 28 to 507 of the family's 1533-position model. The record is from RNAcentral.
GAUGAACGCUGGCGGCGUGCUCAACACAUGCCAGUCGAACGAAGCACUUUAUUUGAUUUCCUUCGGGACUGAUUAUUUUGUGACUGAGUGGCGGACGGGUGAGUAACGCGUGGGUAACCUGCCUUGUACAGGGGGAUAACAGUUGGAAACGGCUGCUAAUACCGCAUAAGCGCACAGCAUCGCAUGAUGCAGUGUGAAAAACUCCGGUGGUAUAAGAUGGACCCGCGUUGGAUUAGCUAGUUGGUGAGGUAACGGCCCACCAAGGCGACGAUCCAUAGCCGACCUGAGAGGGUGACCGGCCACAUUGGGACUGAGACACGGCCCAAACUCCUACGGGAGGCAGCAGUGGGGAAUAUUGCACAAUGGGCGAAAGCCUGAUGCAGCGACGCCGCGUGAGCGAAGAAGUAUUUCGGUAUGUAAAGCUCUAUCAGCAGGGAAGAUAAUGACGGUACCUGACUAAGAAGCACCGGCUAAAUACGUG